Ziziphus jujuba (common jujube) is the source of this 2358-nucleotide long non-coding RNA. RefSeq lists it as uncharacterized. The transcript is spliced from 2 exons. Lineage: Eukaryota; Viridiplantae; Streptophyta; Magnoliopsida; Rosales; Rhamnaceae. The record is from RefSeq and is a predicted model, not a curated record.
CACGUGCUUGCUUUUUAGUUGCACGUGUUUUUCAUUUACUUAGUUAGUUAUCUGUUAUUAAGCUGUUUUAAUUUUUCCACAUGUAUAAAGAAGACUGGCAGUAAUUCUUUCAAGUUGGGUUAGUUAGUUAAAACUAUAAUGAGCUAUAUUAACUAGCUCAAAACCUCUUUUUGUUUCUAAGUAAUCAUUUUUGUCAUUUUUCUAUUGAAAAGAACUCUCUGGUUUUCUGUUUCAUUUUCUCAGCUUUUCUUUGUCUUUCCUUCCUACCAAACGCUAACCUUCAAAGCCUAAGGCCUUUUUUUUUUUUUUUAACUUUGUCAUGGUAUUAGAGCCUUAUUCCAUGGCGGAACUACACAAUCCAAUCCUAACUGUUUCUCCGUUUCCAAACAAUAUCAUCAAACUUGAUGAUUCUAAUUUUUUCAUUUGGAAAUCAUAAAUUUUACCUGUUAUCAAAGGUCAUAGGUUCCUUAAGUUUCUGCAAUUCCUUUCUUAUGAAGAUUAUUUGAAAGAUCAGAGAUCUGAUUCCGCUCAACCCGAAACAAUUUCACCAAGCUCAUCGACUAGUUCCGAUCAACUGAAUAAAGAAGAUUGGGACAUUCAGGACCAAUUUCUUGUUGGAUGACUGCGAAGCACAAUUGAGAAAGAAGUUUUAGGGCAUUUCAAUGGAAAAGAUACCUCAUUCAGUCUAUGGAAUGCUAUUUCUAAUAGGUAUGCUGCUCAAUCUCCUACUAGAAUCUUCCAUUACAGAUAGUUGAUUCAAAGUACCAAGAAGCAUGGUCUUACCGUAGAUGCCUAUGUACUGAAAAUGAAAAAUCUAGCUGAUAAGCUAGUAGUUGCUAGUGAUACUGUUACUGAGAGAGAUUUAGUGUUAUAUAUCCUUAGGGGAUUAGGAUAUGAUUUUAAGUCAAUUUCCACUGUUUUACAAGUUAGACCCAAGCAGCAUACAUUGGAUGAAAUUCAACAUCAUCUUUUAUCCUUUGAAGCUCAACUUGAGGAGGAAAAUAUUGCUCUUAACUAUGAAGUGUCAUACAAGGCUGCUCACAUUGCUUGUGAUUCUGGUAUGGUCUCAAAAAAUUGUGUUGAUACCAAAUUUGGUGCUAGUCGUGGAUCUAAUAAUGAUUAUAGUUCUUCUGGUGGUUUUCAUAACAAUGGUGGUUUUCAUAACCAGUUUCAAGCUUUUCAGAGUCCAAAUCAAUAUCAUGUUGCUGGUUUUCAUGAGCCAACCUUUGAAAGUCAUGUUUUUAAUGCUGUCCAGCAAAUCCUUGGUAGAGGAAGAGGUAGAGGUAGGAAUUUUGGUAGAGGAGGUGGUAGAAAUUCUAAGCCCACUUGCCAGAUUUGUCAAACUUAUGGUCAUUUAGCUGCUUAUUGCUACGAGAGGUUUGAUAGUCAAUACGUGGGAAAUACCAAUGCCAAUUCUGGUUCUAACUCAAAUUUUCAGUUUAAUACUCAGUAGCUUGUUCCUUAUGAAUUUCAUAGACAAUAGCAAGCUAUUAAUCAGCCAUUUGAAGUCAACAUUAAUCCUUAGCAGGUUGUUCUUUCUCAAUUUCAUUGCCCACAGCAGGCUAUCAAUCAGCCGUUUGAAGUUCAAUCUCAGAAUUCACCUUUUCCUUUCCCUGCUUCACAUCUUCCAAUUCCUCGAUCACAGGCCUACAGUAACGGUAACAACCUUCCUCCAUCAGUGGUUUCCUCUGGUUAUAACAAGGAUUUGCCUACUUACUCGCAACCUUCAAACUCUCAGAUUCAAGGACACUUGAUCUACACUAAUGAUGCUUCUAUCCAAUGACUCUUGCUGAUUUUUCAUGAUAUCUUGGCAGUGGAGUAACGAAUCAUGUUGUAGCUGAUGGCACCUCCUUACUUAAUCAAGUUGAAUAUAAGGGGCCCAAUAAGCUGAUGGUUGGAAGUGGAGCACACAUGGACAUUACACAUAUUGGAUCAUCAAGGGAAGCCAAUUCUUAAAGGAGUAAGAGAAUGAGGGCUUUAUAAGCUGUUACUUCUUUCAUCUCUAGCUUCCAAGCACAACAUCAUCUUAGCCACUGGUCUCAACUCAGCCAAAACACCAAGUUUUUCUUCCAGCCAUAAUUCUUUGUUACAGUCUUCUUUUUCUUAAAAUAAUGAUCAUUUAGUUAGUUCUGCUGUUCAAUGUCAUAACUCGAAUUUUGAUGUUCCUGUGUUUUCUUCUUGUAUCUCAACUUCAGUUUCCCCUUGUAUUUCAAUUUCCACUUAUAAAUGUUCUAGUUCAUAUUCAUGUUUGAAUCAUGAUAACAAUGUUUGUUCUUCUAGUUCUUGUAUUUCAGCUAUUGUACCCACUUUUUCUGAAAAUAAUAAUAAUAAAGGCACACCAGUUAGCAAUUUUUCUUC